This 443-nucleotide ribosomal RNA is filed under the name uncultured bacterium. RNAcentral's name for it is "partial 16S ribosomal RNA". It matches the Rfam family "Bacterial small subunit ribosomal RNA", at positions 338 to 795 of the family's 1533-position model. The record is from RNAcentral.
CCUACGGGUGGCAGUAGUCGAGAAUCAUUCACAAUGGGGGAAACCCUGAUGGUGCGACGCCGCGUGGGGGAAUGAAGGUCUUCGGGUUGUAAACUGCUUUUAUAAGCGAGAAAUAUGAUGGUAACUUAUGAAUAAGGAUCGGCUAACUACGUGCCAGCAGCCGCGGUCAUACGUAGGAUCCGAGCAUUAUCCGGAGUGACUGGGUGUAAAGAGUUGCGUAGGUGGCAUAAUAAGUAGCUAGUGAAAUCUGGUGGCUCAACCAUUCAGACUAUUAGCUAAACUGUUAAGCUCGAGACCGUUAGGGGUAACUGGAAUUUCUAGUGUAGGAGUGAAAUCCGUAGAUAUUAGAAGGAACACCGAUAGCGUAGGCAGGUUACUGGGACGGUUCUGACACUAAGGCACGAAAGCGUAGGGAGCAAACGGGAUUAGAUACCCCGGUAGUC